AACGAACGCUGGCGGCAUGCCUAACACAUACAAGUCGAACGAGACCUUCGGGUCUAGUGGCGCACGGGUGCGUAACGCGUGGGAACCUGCCCUUAGGUUCGGAAUAACUCCCCGAAAGGGGUGCUAAUACCGGAUAAUCUCUUCGGACCAAAGAUUUAUCGCCUUUGGAUGGGCCCGCGUUGGAUUAGCUAGUUGGUAGUGUAAAAGCCUACCAAGGCGACGAUCCAUAGCUGGUCGGAGAGGAUGAUCAGCCACACUGGGACUGAGACACGGCCCAGACUCCUACGCGAGGCAGCAGUGGGUAAUAUUGGACAAUGGGCGAAAGCCUGAUCAAGCAAUGCCGCGUGAGUGAUGAAGGCGUUAGGGUUGUAAAGCUCUUUUACCCGGGAUGAUAAUGACAGUACCGGGAGAAUAAGCACCGGCUAACUACGUG
Molecule: ribosomal RNA, 433 nt
Filed under: uncultured bacterium
Lineage: Bacteria
Description: partial 16S ribosomal RNA
Rfam family: Bacterial small subunit ribosomal RNA
Source: RNAcentral